GUUCGUUUUGGCAGCACAUGUACUAAAAUUGGAAUGAUACGGAGAAGAUUAGCAUGGCCCCUGCACAAAGAUGACUUGCAAAUUCAUGAAGCAUUCCAUAUUUUC
Molecule: non-coding RNA, 105 nt
Organism: Canis lupus familiaris (dog)
Lineage: Eukaryota; Metazoa; Chordata; Mammalia; Carnivora; Canidae
Source: Rfam